AAAGUAUUUGGCUUUCUAUAAGGACAAUUGAAUGGCCGCGGUAACUCUGACCGUGAUAAUGUAGCGAAAUCACUAGCCAGUUAAUUGCUGGCCUGUAUGAAUGGCUUAACGAGGGCUCCACUGUCUCAAUAAUAAACCGGGUGAAAUUGGAAAAACGGUAAAGAUACCGUAAAGGAAUUCUAAGACGAGAAGACCCCAUUGAGCUUUACUAUUAACUUGUAUUGCCAAAGCAAAUAAAAGGGAACUCUCCCUUGCUUUAUAAUAAAAUUGAGUAGACUAAGUGGGAAAAAAGGGAUGUUAGUCCCCUUUUUAUGGCCGAUUCAUUGGAUUGGGCCCCCAAAAGAUACCUUUUGGGGCCAUUGGCGUAGAGAGGGGGGAUCCGAUUUUCGGAUCGGCGCCGAAGGCGCCCAACCCUACUCGAUUUUUAUGAAAAACCACUCUUUUUAUUAGGAUUACUGGCUAAAACCGUACAAGUAAGGUAGUUUGGUUGGGGCGACCGCCUUCGAAAAAGUAUCGAAGGCGUACAUAAGAUUAAUCCGGGGGGGGUGUCCUUUUUUCACCCCCAAACAAACCGGGGGUAAUGCCCCAAAAAAGAUUAGUUUGACUGAGAGGGCUACAACCCGAACAGGCGCUUGGGGAUCGUUAGGAUCCCUGGGCCCGGUUUAUACCAAGGGGCCUAAUUGACCAGCGGGCUCCUUUUUAUUCCCGGGUCGAACCUAGCGGGUCAUAGUGAUCCGUUGUUAUAUUGUGGGAUAGACAACGAUCAACGAAGAA
RNAcentral lists this ribosomal RNA (774 nucleotides) under Trichoplax sp. H2. RNAcentral's name for it is "partial 16S ribosomal RNA". It matches the Rfam family "Bacterial large subunit ribosomal RNA", at positions 1892 to 2459 of the family's 2925-position model. The record is from RNAcentral. Lineage: Eukaryota; Metazoa; Placozoa; Uniplacotomia; Trichoplacea; Trichoplacidae.